UAGUCCACGCCGUAAAACGAUGAGAACUAGAUGUCGGGGGAAUCUGUCCUGUGUCGCAGCUAACGCGUUAAGUUCUCCGCCUGGGGAGUACGCCGGCAACGGUAAAACUACAAAGGAAUUGACGGGGACCCGCACAAGCGGUGGAGCAUGUGGUUUAAUUCGAUGCAACGCGAAGAACCUUACCUGCCCUUGACAUUGACAGAAUCCUGUAGAGAUACGGGAGUGCUUCGGCCUGGAAAACAGGUGCUGCAUGGCUGUCGUCAGCUCGUGUCGUGAGAUGUUGGGUUAAGUCCCGCAACGAGCGCAACCCUUGUCCUUAGUUGCCAGCACGUAAUGGUGGGAACUCUAGGGAGACUGCCGGUGACAAACCGGAGGAAGGUGGGGGACGACGUCAAGUCAUCAUGGCCCUUAUGGGCAGGGCUACACACGUGCUACAAUGGCGAUACAGAGGGUUGCCAACCAGCAAUGGUGCGCUAAUCCCUUAAAAGCCUCGUACGUACGGCGUAGU
This 508-nucleotide ribosomal RNA is filed under the name uncultured bacterium. RNAcentral describes it as "bacterial SSU rRNA". It matches the Rfam family "Bacterial small subunit ribosomal RNA", at positions 791 to 1306 of the family's 1533-position model. The record is from RNAcentral.